GGCCUGUGCGCCUUGUGGGGCCAGAGGCCAGAGGGGCUGGCAGGUUGACCCGGGGCCCCGCGGCCUCCUGCCGGAGCGCAAUCCUCAGACCAUCAGACCCGGUGGAGCCUUCCCUUGCUGCACCCAAGAUCCUCUGGUGGCUGACAGCACAAAAAUGGCCGUUGACAGCAACACGCCCCUGGAAGUCCCUGACAUGCUGGCCUGAUCCCCGGUCCUCGCUACACACCCUGCUGAGGAAACCAAGGCAGUUUAUCUGGAGUUAGAUCUGCUGCUUCCUGGCUGUGUGACCUUGGCUGCUGUCUAAGGAAGGGUCAGAGAGGCGCAGCAACUUGUCCGGAGUCCCACAGCUCCAAGAGUGAGGCGGCGUUUGGACCUGACCUUGCCAGGCUGCAGCCCGUCUCGGCCCCCGACCCCUGGCUGCCUGAGAGUCCAAGAUGGCUCCUGGAGCUCCAGCCAUCACAUCUGCAUUCCAGACAGCAGGAAGGAAAGAAACCAUCUUUUAACUGAAUCGUCCUCAUUUAUGGGGCCUUCCUGGAAGUUCCACCACACAGUUUUGCCUUCAUCUCACUGGCAAGAUUUAGCCACACAGCCACAGCCAACUGUAGGGGAGGCUGGGGAAUGUCACCCAGCUAAAAACUUUGAUGCUGUGGCUAAAGAAGGAGGGGAGGGUGGACAUUUAGAAGAUAAUUAUCAGCCCUGGCCUGAAGCCUUCCUGGGGGGUGCCGGGGAGGGCUCAUCCAAGGUCACACUCCUGGUCAGUAAGGGGACAGGGUUUGAACCCACCACAGCCAGGUGUCUCAGCUUUUGCUACGUUUGCUAAUUGUCCUCUGAGAAAAAUCAAAAGAUUUUAUUUAAAAUGUUCUUUUUAUGUUUUUUCUGCUCAGAUAAGCCUGGGGAACAUUGGGGAAACAAAGGGACAGAGGUUUCCUUGCUCCGGGACUGUCCCAAGCAAAUCAAGAGGCUACAGAUAAGAGGCCCUAAUCCAAAAUGGCUUCUCUGGGGGCGGCCUGGUUAGUCGCAGCACAGGGAGACACAGAUGGUGGCGUCAGGGCGGGCGGAUCCAGCAGCCUACUGAG
This 1076-nucleotide long non-coding RNA is filed under the name Equus asinus (donkey). RNAcentral's name for it is "lncRNA (ENSEASG00005029313.1)". Lineage: Eukaryota; Metazoa; Chordata; Mammalia; Perissodactyla; Equidae. The record is from RNAcentral.